AUGCGAUCAUUGCGGGAAAGCUGGGAGAGCGUGCUCAACUCUUUUCGGCAGGCAUGUGUCCGGGCAUCUGGGCUGGUUGCGAUCCGGUCCUUCGCUUGGCCUCCACGUGUGCGGCGCGUACCGGCCGAAUCAACCAAUCAAACAGUCCGUGGCGUGGGCGGAAAAGAGUACGUAAAAUAUGUGCGAGAGGAUAAGCGCUGGCCGCCGGAGAAGCGGCGGGGCAGCGGGCGAAUCUUCUGGACGAAUGCCGAGCUCGCAUCCGCGGUGAUGGCGACGGCACGAGCAGAUGGGACGGUGAUGAUUCGUCGGGGCCGUUGGCCGUUUCCUGGCGCGCCAUCAUUACAUGGUCAUGGUGGAAGAUCCUCUUCGCAAAGGGAGUUGGAAAAAGUUCAUUUUACAGUCGAACAAGUGACGGUUGUUACCACUUCCGGAGGAGUUUGCCGCUCCUUAUUUGUUGGCAAAUUCUAG
Molecule: ribosomal RNA, 468 nt
Filed under: Triticum aestivum (bread wheat)
Lineage: Eukaryota; Viridiplantae; Streptophyta; Magnoliopsida; Poales; Poaceae
Description: partial small subunit ribosomal RNA
Source: RNAcentral